Molecule: ribosomal RNA, 732 nt
Filed under: Escherichia coli
Lineage: Bacteria; Pseudomonadati; Pseudomonadota; Gammaproteobacteria; Enterobacterales; Enterobacteriaceae
Also listed under: 2 other names
Description: partial 23S ribosomal RNA
Rfam family: Bacterial large subunit ribosomal RNA
Source: RNAcentral
UGUUUGAUGUUCUAACGUGGACCCGUGAUCCGGGUUGCGGACAGUGUCUGGUGGGUAGUUUGACUGGGGCGGUCUCCUCCUAAAGAGUAACGGAGGAGCACGAAGGUUGGCUAAUCCUGGUCGGACAUCAGGAGGUUAGUGCAAUGGCAUAAGCCAGCUUGACUGCGAGCGUGACGGCGCGAGCAGGUGCGAAAGCAGGUCAUAGUGAUCCGGUGGUUCUGAAUGGAAGGGCCAUCGCUCAACGGAUAAAAGGUACUCCGGGGAUAACAGGCUGAUACCGCCCAAGAGUUCAUAUCGACGGCGGUGUUUGGCACCUCGAUGUCGGCUCAUCACAUCCUGGGGCUGAAGUAGGUCCCAAGGGUAUGGCUGUUCGCCAUUUAAAGUGGUACGCGAGCUGGGUUUAGAACGUCGUGAGACAGUUCGGUCCCUAUCUGCCGUGGGCGCUGGAGAACUGAGGGGGGCUGCUCCUAGUACGAGAGGACCGGAGUGGACGCAUCACUGGUGUUCGGGUUGUCAUGCCAAUGGCACUGCCCGGUAGCUAAAUGCGGAAGAGAUAAGUGCUGAAAGCAUCUAAGCACGAAACUUGCCCCGAGAUGAGUUCUCCCUGACCCUUUAAGGGUCCUGAAGGAACGUUGAAGACGACGACGUUGAUAGGCCGGGUGUGUAAGCGCAGCGAUGCGUUGAGCUAACCGGUACUAAUGAACCGUGAGGCUUAACCUUACAACGCCGAAG